ACCUGGUCAGUCGGUGAUUAAUGUUCGCCAAACGUUGGUUCACCUACGAAUUUCCAAUAUUUGCGAUUUUUUUUUCUUGAAUCUUUCGAAUCUUCGCAUUAUGAGGACCCUCGUAAUUGUCUCCAUUGCCAUCUUCUGCCUAGCCUUUCUCAUUGUUCAGACCGAAGCAGUUCCCCAAUUGCAAAAUGUGGAUUUGAUGAACAAAUUCGGUGGCCAGGACUCGCUGCAUCGCACCAUGACGUCUCUAAUGAGUUUGUACACGAAGCUGACUCAAGAGUUUGAGACACUGAUCAGACAAGGGAAAAGCGUCAACCAAGCCAUUCCAGAGCUAAUAAAACUGCUACCAAGUAUGAUGUCGUAAAUUUCAAGUCGGCCGGCUCGUAUCGUGUCAACCUUGGCCUCUACGUAGAUUCGAUGCAAUAAAAAGUAGAAACACGGAGAAA
Bombus terrestris (buff-tailed bumblebee) is the source of this 443-nucleotide long non-coding RNA. RefSeq lists it as uncharacterized. Lineage: Eukaryota; Metazoa; Arthropoda; Insecta; Hymenoptera; Apidae. The transcript is spliced from 2 exons. The record is from RefSeq and is a predicted model, not a curated record.